UGUUCCUCUCCUCCCCAAAUUCAUAUACUGAAGUCCUAAUCCCUGCCCCCCAACUCAGUACCUCAGAGAUUAUUGCAUUUGGAAACAGGGUCAAAUGAAGACCUAAUCCAAUAGGACUGGUGAUCUUCUAAGAGGAGAGCAUGGACAGACAUGAACAGAGGGAAGAGGAAGAGCAGACACAGGGAAAAGUGGGCCGGCUGCAUGGAAUGCUCCAGGGCAGUGAUGAUGCCUAGUUAAUCCUGUGUGCCCACCACAGACUCUAAUGCAUCGAUGAUACGUGAAUGAACGAAUCCAUCAAUGGUAACAAGUGAGGCCUGUGUGGACCACUAUACCUGUGACACUGUCAAUUUCUCCUCAUUUGAAUGAUACUCACACUAUUCACCAUGUGUGGCUCCUCCAGUCAUUCAACAAAGACUCAUCAGACACUAGACAUACAAGGAACGGUGGAAGAUGCCAAUUUCAGACUGAUUCCGGAUGCGAAGUCUGUUCUGUCUGACCUCACUGAUUCCUGGGGGAUGUGUAAAGAC
Nannospalax galili (Upper Galilee mountains blind mole rat) is the source of this 527-nucleotide long non-coding RNA. RefSeq lists it as uncharacterized. NCBI's taxonomy places the organism in Eukaryota, Metazoa, Chordata, Mammalia, Rodentia, Spalacidae. The record is from RefSeq and is a predicted model, not a curated record. The transcript is spliced from 3 exons.